GACGACUUUUGGCGGCGCGCCUAACACAUGCAAGUCGAACGGAGCUUAGAGAGCUUGCUUUUUAAGCUUAGUGGCGAACGGGUGAGUAACGCGUGAGUAACCUGCCCUAGAGUGGGGGACAACAGUUGGAAACGACUGCUAAUACCGCAUAAGCCCACGGUGCCGCAUGACACUGAGGGAAAAGGAUUUAUUCGCUUUAGGAUGGACUCGCGUCUAAUUAGCUAGUUGGUGAGGUAACGGCCCACCAAGGCGACGAUUGGUAGCCGGACUGAGAGGUUGAACGGCCACAUUGGGACUGAGACACGGCCCAGACUCCUACGGGAGGCAGCAGUGGGGGAUAUUGCACAAUGGGGGAAACCCUGAUGCAGCGACGCCGCGUGGAGGAAGAAGGUUUUCGGAUUGUAAACUCCUGUCGUUAGGGACGAUAAUGACGGUACCUAACAAGAAAGCACCGGCUAACUACGUGCCAGCAGCCGCGGUAAAACGUAGGGUGCAAGCGUUGUCCGGAAUUACUGGGUGUAAAGGGAGCGCAGGCGGGAAGACAAGUUGGAAGUGAAAACCAUGGGCUCAACCCAUGAAUUGCUUUCAAAACUGUUUUUCUUGAGUAGUGCAGAGGUAGAUGGAAUUCCCGGUGUAGCGGUGGAAUGCGUAGAUAUCGGGAGGAACACCAGUGGCGAAGGCGGUCUACUGGGCACCAACUGACGCUGAGGCUCGAAAGCAUGGGUAGCAAACAGAAUUAGAUACCCUGGUAGUCCAUGCCGUAAACGAU
This 769-nucleotide ribosomal RNA is filed under the name uncultured bacterium. Its description in RNAcentral is "bacterial SSU rRNA". It matches the Rfam family "Bacterial small subunit ribosomal RNA", at positions 28 to 810 of the family's 1533-position model. The record is from RNAcentral.